UCAGGUUAUUCACAUAUGCUUUUUUCAACAGUGCCCUGUCCAGAAAGAGAGCGAUGGUCUCCCUCUGAAUUGAUUCAGACCUCGUUCUUCCCGCUUGCCUCAUUCAUCUAAGGCUGUAGACUGCUCCUGAAGCAAAAAUGAUUCAGCAACUUCUCUUAACAACGAUGAAAAGGCAUGACCUUUUGGAUCAUAACCUUUUGGAAAAAUGAUGCCAUAACCUGUUGGGAAAUGGAAAUCUCCAUAACGUUUUGGAAAAUGGCAUUCACCACCAUUUUGGGAAAAUCAGGAAUCUCCCUGAGAAGAGUUAAAAACUCACUUGAGUCAGCUUUCUCCUUGGAGGGGACUCAAGGCGGCUUAAAGACUCGAGCAAGAUUCAAUAAUCACCACUUCAUUCUUUGUGGUGAAUGUGGAAGUGAAGAUGAAGGCUAAAACUGGAUCCUGUGCAAGAAGAAAGCUGAGAUAUUGACUCAAUCAAUCAAUCAAUCAAUCUCAAACAGAUAUACUGGAGGGGACACCAUUUUCUGGGACUGGCCAAAUUUAGACUGUGUGAUGGACAUGAGUCAAUUGCAUCCUUGAAAUAUCACUUCUGAUGAGAAUAACCCUUUGGUGAGCAACAGAGCAUGGGGAAUUUUUUUUAAUGACAGUUUUCCAAAUUUCCUAGCCAGUAUAGUUAAUCCCAGCUGGAUGGGAGGUUUUAGGGGUUAUUAAAAAAAACUUCACCAAGAUCUAGCUGGAAUUCAGAAGUGACCUAACUUGACAUUACUCCCUGUUCUACCCCUCAUCCUAUUUAGAAAUGGCUGUGAGUACAACUGAAGGCCAUCCAGCGCAUCUGCUUGAUACAACUCUACUUCAGCAUUCUACCCUCUUUCGAUUCCUUGCCACAUUUCUCAAGCAGUAUCACUUUGGCAGAAAUCUGGUGCAUUUUAGGUAACUUGUUCUUUCCUUCCAGUAACUCUAUAUCAUCCAAGAUCUAACACUGCUACAUGGAACCGUCUCCUGACUCCCCAUUCCCAGGCAAUAUCUGUUCAAAGUCAGCCGCCUGUGAGAUUUGCUUGGUUCUGCAAGUGUUUUAGUUACAUUGAGAGCUAUGAGGUUGUAUAAACUCUAGGCCUAUGGCUAGAAACUUCCUUAUUCAAAUCAAUAAGUCUGGCCAUGUUUAUGCUUCAUUUGUUGUAUAUACUUACUUGUAUUACCUAUGCACAUGUGCAUUGGAUGCUGGGUAUUGUUAUGCUUUAAUCAUGCUGGUAUUUGCUUGCAUUUGGGGGGAGGUGCAAUUGGAGAAUCUCUCAUUAGCUCAGAACUGUUCAUUUAAGCCUGGUAGAUUCAUAGCUACAGCUGCUAAAGGAAGUAGUAUUUUGCCAAAAUAGUUCCAGUGUUAUUUCCAUGAGAGAUCUUGUCUGUGAAAGGAUAUUUGGAGUGUUGUUGAAGGGUGGUUGUAUGUUUUCCGGGCUGUAUGGCCAUGUUCCAGAAGUAUUAUCUCCUGACGUUUCGCCCACAUCUAUGGCAGGCAUCCUCACCUCACAGCCUCUGAGGAUGCCUGCCACAGAUGUGGGCGAAACGUCAGGAGAGAAUACUUCUGGAACAUGGCCAUACAGCCCAGAAAACAUACAACCACCCUGAUAUUUGGAGUGUUUUAUGAUUCAAUGGAGGACCUGCCCCACUCUCUGAGUUGUAUAUUGACAAUUGGGACAAAAACCCAUAGAACAUUUUAAUUGUUUUAUUUAUAAAAUGUAUUGUGUGGUUCUUCAUUCCUUAGAUCUAACGAUACCAAUUUUAUGGUGAUCUAUUUUGUUAUUUUAAAUAAAGUUUCUACACUUUGAGAACUUUGUUUGCUGAACUGAAGUUUUCCUGUAUAUGAGACUAAAGCUAUUUCAUUGAGUUUUGAAUUACAAAACCCAAAGACUUAAUUUCAAAUAAUUAUAACUUUUGGGAGAGUAAUCACUUUUACAUUUCCAAGCUCUGUUGCUGUGUUUGCUAAACCUUUAGUGCUUCUCACAUCUUUCUAUUACUGGCCUCAUUUCUUUUUAAAAUUAUUUUAUUCAAAAUAUUUUAAACAUUUAGAUAAAAAUAUAGACAUAUAGGGAAGGUAUAGGACGGGGAGGGGAGGAGGUCCUUGGGGAUAGGAGUAGGGAAAAGGGGUAAAGAAAAGGGGAAGUUUGUUGACUUCUGAUUUCCUUCAUGGUGGUUUGUUUAAUCUUUGUCUCUACUCCUUUGUUUCUUCUUUCUUUGCUUCUCCUUUUCUUCAAGUCUUUCCAGGAUAAAUAUUUCUUGAAUUCUAUAGGAUCAGUCUAAAUUUUAAACUAUGUUUUUCUUCAGUAGUCUUUAAAUAGUUUUCAGUCUGUGCUUUUUUGGUUUAAUUUCCCUUCAUGUUUCAACAAUAAUUGUGUUAAUUUAUCCAUAUUCAUAAUUUCUAGGAUUUUUACCUUCCAUUGGUGUGUUGAAGGGAUAUUCUUAUCUCUCCAACAUCUCAUGUAGACUAUUCUUGCUACUGUGGUCAAACAAUUAAAAAGUCUGUCCUUGUUCUCUUCUAUAUUUAUGUCUAAUAGUCCUGAUAGGAAGUAUUCUGGUUUCAAUUCUAUUUUAAUUUUCAAAAUCUUUGAAAUCAAUUCAUGAAUCCACUUCCAAUACACUUUUGCCUUGCUGCAUGUCCACCACACAUGGUAGAACACGUCAUCCUGUAAUUCACACUUCCAGUAUUUGUUUUGGAUAUUUUUAUUCAUUUUUCCCAGGAUCUGUGGUGUUAUGUACCAUUGGUACAUCAUUUUGUACCAGUUUCCCUUAAGUCAUAGGUACAUGUAAACUUCAAUUUGUGAUUCCACAUAUGUUCCCAUUCCUCCAUCUUUAUUGGUUGUCUAAUGUAAGUAGCCCAUUUGUUCAUACAUUCUUUAACCUGGUCUGUUUCCGAGUUCCAUUUCGGUAGUUUCUUAUAAAUUUUCGUAACCAAUUUCUUCUUUGUUCUCAUUUCCUUAGGUGGCUGUUCACUUUUGGAUCCAUGUCCUUCUUUCUCUUCUAUGCUGUGCUGUAUAGUCACAGGGAAUUUCCAUUACCCUCUGUGACACAAUUUUUGUCCUGCUUAUAGCUUUCAGCCAGGAUGCCCACUGUCCCUUUACUUCCUCCUCAGUAAGAAUGUGUGACCUGAUUUAUUGUUUUGAAUUUAUGCUGUGUUGCACUUCACAUUUCUAUCUUUCCCAGUGCCUUUAAAUUAAGCUCUCAUUUUCCACUGAAGAAGCCAUAUCAUUUGUGAGUCUCCUGACAGUUGCUCUGGGGCCUUUAGACAUGUUGGUACCCUUUGGUUUAACCUAUUCCUUUCCCUUAUUGUUUUGGGCAGAUAUCAUGUGUUCUUGCCUGUGUGUGGGCAAGUAUAACAUUUCCAACAAAUGUAUUCUAUUCUGCACUCUCCUUGAAUCACUUUGGGGAAAAUUGAUAGGCACCGAAGGCUUUGUUCCUCUAAACAUUACCACCCCAUUUUCUGUCUGCGGCUGUUCUCACAAUCCCGACUCCGCCCCACAAUGACUCAGGCUUUCUAUCCAGAGUGUCAAAGGAAAACCCAGUAAAAGAGAUUCUUCCCCUGUCCUCUUCUGUUUCAGACUCCUUUCCUUUCUUUUGAAGAAGAGUUGAAAGCAAUGAUCAGAGGCAAGGUAAAAACAGAAUAGCUGAGACUAGGACAGAAGGAAAAGGAGCCAAUUGAUUUGCUGGUUUAUAGAGGGUGGGUUGUUUCAAAGUGCUGCAAUAGAUGCAGAGAAUUGGAUUUGUUUUUACUCAGGGGAAUGCUACAGGAAGAAGCUGUUAUUUUCUGCUUUUCUUUCUGCAUGCCUGAAUCCAAAUGUCACAAUUUUGAAUCCAUCCAGCUCCAAUAUUGUAAAGAGGAGCCUACUUUCAUUAAUGGUAUAAUUUAUCUCUAGGUAAUUAUGCUGAAAUAAAAAGUUUGCUAAUGUCUAGUAACCUAUGGAUGCGAGAGCUGGACCAUAAGGAAGGCUGAGUGAAGGAAGAUAGAUGCUUUUGAACUUUGGGGCUGGAGGAAAAUCCUGAGAGUGCCUUGGACCACAAGAAGAUCCAACCAAGUCCAUCCUCCAGGAAAUAAUGGCCGGCUGCUCACUGGAGGGAAGGAUAUUAGAGGCAAAGCUGGAGUAUUUUGGCCACAUCAUGAGGAGACAGGAAAGCUUGGAAAAGAUCACGAUGCUGGGGAAAAUGGAAGGAAAAAGGAAGAGAGGCCGACCAAGAGCAAGAUGGAUGGAUGGUAUCCUUGAAGUGACUGGCUUGACCUUGAAGGAACUGGGGGCGGUGACGGCCGACAGGGAGCUCUGGCGUGGACUGGUCCAUGAAGUCACAAAGAGUCGGAGACGACUAAACGACUGAGCAGCAGCAGCAAAGUCUAGUAUGGCUUGUGAAAGAGAGAAAACAAGUUCAACAGGGAUUUGUAACAAACUGUAGCAGUAUGGUAUGGCCCUGUGGAGGAUGUUACUCUCUAUGUGGGAGGUGAAAUUGCUCCAGGGUUUGGAUAGCUUCAAAGGACCACUCCAGGGCACUGAGCCUAUUUUGCAGGCAUUUUCAGCACUUUUUCAUCAAGCCAAUGAAAAAGAGAUUAAUAAUAAUAAUAACUUUAUUUUUAUAUCCCACUCCCAUCUCCCCAAGGGUAUUCAGGGUGGCUCACAUGGAAACAAGCCCAGCAUCAUCAUACAUUAAAACACAGUCGUAAUUUAUAAUUUAAAAUAAUAUAAAACAUUACACAGUAUAAAAUAGCAUAAACAUAUCCGGUCCUUCAAACCUAGAGCAUAGUCCAAAUAUGUAAGUUUGAGCUUGUGCAGACUCUACAUGAGACUUGAGGAUAAUAAUAUAGGGUGAUCAGGGAAGAUUACAAGACUAAAAUCAACAAAAGUGAGGGAAAUUGAUAAAAUGCAAUAAUUGUGACAAGUUAAUAUCUAACUGGAAGUAUUCAUUCAAAGGCGCAUCGAUACAGCCAUGUUUUAAGGUCCUUAUGAAAGGUGGACAGGGAAGGUGCCAAUCUGAUCUCCCUGGGGAGGGAGUUCCAGAGGCAAGGGGCCACCACUGAGAAGGCCCUCUCCCUCAUCCCCACCAGUCAUGCUUGGAACAGAGGUGGGAGUGAGAGAAGGGCCUCCCCGUAGGAUCUCAAGGUCCGUGUGGGUUCAUAGAGGAGGAGGCGAUCACGGAGAUAAGCAGGCCCUGAACCAUUUGUAAUUUUGAACCAAUCAGUAGGCUUGUGCAUAGAUGUGGAUUGGUCGAUUCCCUUUGGCCAAUCUGGAUUGUUUGGAUGGCCGAAAUGGCAAGGGCUCAGCCUCCCUGUUUUUUGGCCACAACAGAACAUUGGCUGUCGAACACCGGCUGCCUUUAAUUACAAGUGGAGUGCAGGGGUGAGGCAGCUGCUAGAAACAAUAGUGCAAGCAGAGCCAGCCCUAGGUAUUUUUCAAGUGUAGGCGAACAAAAUUUUGCCCCCCCCCCCCAAACCAAUCACUGAAAAAUAAAAGCGUUGGAUAAGUGAAGAUGUUGGAUAAUAAGGAGGGAUGAAGGAAAAGCCUAUUAAACAUCAAAUUACAUUAAGAUUUUACAAAUUAAGCACCAAAACAUCAUGUUUUACAACAAGUCAACAGAAAAAGCAGUCUUGACUGCGCCCCCAUAUGUUUUGCGCCCCAAGUGACAGCUUAAUUCACCUCAUUGUUGGACUGGCUCUGAGUGCGAGGGAGGAAAAGGCACCACUCCAGGGUCUGCAAAUCAAGAGAAAAGAAAGGGAUUUUUAAAGGAAGCCCUAGGUAGGAUAGCUCCAAGUCGAUCGCUCUUCAUUUCCUGGGACAUGGGGAAGUAUUAUUAUUAUAAGGGAAGCCUCUUUAAAAUGCCUUGGAAAGCUGCGUGCUGCAGGGAGAGAGUGCUGUGUGCGCCUGCAGCACCUGUCUAGAGUAGAAACAGCUUUAACUAACAGUAAGCAGCAUUAAACCCAAAGCAGAAAGGAGAUUGAAGUGUGAGGUGGAAAACGGCACCACUCCAGGGUUUGCAAAUCAAGAGAAAAGAGAGGGGUUUUUAAAGGAAACCCAGGGAAGGAUAGCUAAAGGUCAAUCACUCUUCCUUCCCUGAGAAGUGGGGAAGCCUCCUUAAAAUGCCUUGGAAAGCUGUGUGCUGAAGGGAGAGAGCACUGUGCGCACCUGAGGCACCUGUCUCCUCUAAACAGCUUUAACUAAGUAUUAAACCUGGUCUCCUCUACAGAUAGAAGGGACUGGAUCACAGAAAGAGUGGUAUCUGAUGCUUUUAAUCCAGGUCUUAAUGAAGGAUAGAAGGACAAAUGAUACCUAAAAUGAUGGUAAGGGGAGCAUGGGGAGCAUGGGAAGUCCGUGUCCCCCCCCCCCCCCGGGUAAUGGGCUGGAUAGAAAACAAAUAUUCCGGCUUCCCAACCAAAAAUGGCUUUCUGUCCUCCUGAAUUUUGGAGGCUCCCUAAAAAUGGAUUGGGACCCCCACCAAAAUCUGGAGCAUUGAAACAGAUCACAGUUUACUGGGAUUGCACAAGCCUAUCAAUCAGAACGUCCAUUGUUUUUGAAGACCAUAAAAUACUGCUAGCCACAAAUCGAAAGGCAUGUCUGAUUUGGGGCUCUCUCUCCUGCCAUCUUUCCUUGAUGAAGAAGCAAUAAAUCAAUCUCUGAUCCCA
Molecule: long non-coding RNA, 6649 nt
Organism: Anolis carolinensis (green anole)
Lineage: Eukaryota; Metazoa; Chordata; Lepidosauria; Squamata; Anolidae
Exons: 4
Source: RefSeq, a predicted model, not a curated record